AUUGAACGCUGGCGGCAGGCUUAACACAUGCAAGUCGAGCGGGGAUAGGAUGCUUGCACCUGAUUCCUAGCGGCGGACGGGUGAGUAAUGCUUAGGAAUCUGCCUAUUAGUGGGGGACAACGUUCCGAAAGGAACGCUAAUACCGCAUACGUCCUACGGGAGAAAGCAGGGGACCUUCGGGCCUUGCGCUAGUAGAUGAGCCUAAGUCGGAUUAGCUGGUUGGUGGGGUAAAGGCCUACCAAGGCGACGAUCUGUAGCGGGUCUGAGAGGAUGAUGCGCCACACUGGGACUGAGACACGGCCCAGACUCCUACGGGAGGCAGCAGUGGGGAAUAUCGGACAAUGGGCGGAAGCCUGAUCCAGCCAUGCCGCGUGUGUGAAGAAGGCCUUUUGGUUGUAAAGCACUUUAAGCGAGGAGGAGGAACUCUAGAUUAAUACUCUAGAUGUUUGGACGUUACUCGCAGAAUAAGCACCGGCUAACUCUGUGCCAGCAGCCGCAGUAA
RNAcentral lists this ribosomal RNA (502 nucleotides) under uncultured bacterium. RNAcentral describes it as "partial 16S ribosomal RNA". It matches the Rfam family "Bacterial small subunit ribosomal RNA", at positions 30 to 523 of the family's 1533-position model. The record is from RNAcentral.